RNAcentral lists this long non-coding RNA (1358 nucleotides) under Malus domestica (apple). RNAcentral describes it as "long non-coding RNA (MDOM_LNC008320)". Lineage: Eukaryota; Viridiplantae; Streptophyta; Magnoliopsida; Rosales; Rosaceae. The record is from RNAcentral.
CUAUCGCAUCAUUACGUCGUAGUAAUCCUACUAAUGACCUUAUGGUUUGGAUUCAAUCAUUGGUUCUAUAAGAACCCCUUCAUUCAAAACACCUUUUUGAAGCAGUUUCUAAAACAAUAUAUCGUCAUAUAUUUCGUUUGUAUACUUUAUACAAACUUUGCUCCAACCUUGAGACCAUUGUAGUACAAUACUAACAAUUCAUUCAUACGAUUAGUACUUCAUCCAUUAUGAAGUUCCAUUUGUUAAAAUGGCUUAUAUUCACUUUGGUUAACAACCUAAGUGAAUGCACGCUUCCAGAGUCCCACUCUGAUGUUUCUUUCUUAAAGGCAAUAAUACUCUGUCAGUUGCUUUGGUUCUGAUCCUGGGAUUUAGUAAUAUCUUAUAGUGACAACCCCUGUGGUUCUUCACUUUUGGAUAUCUACUUCACAAGUCCAUACAUGUGUCCCUUUUGUGAUUUUGUGACAUAUUCAUUAUAAGGGUUAUGAAAGUGUUUUUCUAUCACAUAGAAAAAUGCUUUCUUAAAUCCACAACAUUUGAGAUUUAAUUCCCAUAUAACAUUAUUGAGAUAGCCUUGCUAUAUCAAUAAGCCCAAUUUCAAGUCUAUACUUCAAAAUUGACCAUGUCAUGUUUUGUCAUUUCUCGAGUAACAUCUAUGUUUUAUCAAGUCUAUCGAAUAGACUUUAUUCACAUCUUGUUGCUCAAAUUAUGACAUCACUCCUACUGGCCUUGUUGUAACUUAGCAUUCAUACAAAAUAACAAUUAUAUUUUCUUGAUUUGAAUGCAUAUUGCUCCCACUAACUUAAAUGAAUCACACACAAAAGAAUUCCUUCUUAAGUAAUUCCAUUUGAAAUGUGUGACUUGUUUCAUUAAGUCUAUUCAUUUAAAUUAUAUGGUGUCAUACACCAUACUUCAAGUUUUAGUCAUACUAAGACCUUUAAUGUAGUCAUAUAAGAAUUAUCCAAGUCUUUAGUAGAAGCAUGGCUCCUACUAAGGAUAUAGAAACUCAACCAUUCCUUCUAGGUGGUUGAUAUAAUUCUUUAUUAAAACUACAUAGAGCAAUAUUGUUACAUGAGAUGUUGAAUUUUGGAUUGUCUUGUUGUUAAACCAUAUGUUGUGACUCAGUUUGAAACUAUUUCCCUUUUGUUUCAUCAACUUGUCCAUAUGCUUAGUUAUUUAGCUUGUUCUCAUAAAAGAGAAUGAUGGACAACUCCCAACAUAUAACCAUUUUAUGCUAGGUUGACGAAAUCAACAUUCAAAGACUAUUCUUUAGAAUGUCACACAACAUAGAAUUUUAACGUUUGAAGAGCUUGAGUCCUUUUAACAAUUAAAAUUACAAACCUUUUAAUAAUAGUCAAGUA